RNAcentral lists this ribosomal RNA (616 nucleotides) under Rhizopus arrhizus. Its description in RNAcentral is "Rhizopus oryzae partial large subunit ribosomal RNA". It matches the Rfam family "Eukaryotic large subunit ribosomal RNA", at positions 82 to 632 of the family's 3401-position model. Lineage: Eukaryota; Fungi; Mucoromycota; Mucoromycetes; Mucorales; Rhizopodaceae. The record is from RNAcentral.
AGUACGGCGAGUGAGAGGAAGAGCUCAAAGUUGGAACCUGUUUGGCCUAGCUAAACCGGAUGAAGACUGUAGAAGUGUUUUCCAGGCAAGCCGAGUAAAUAAGUCCUUUGGAACAGGGCAUCAUAGAGGGUGAGAAUCCCGUCUUUGGCUUGAGCAUUUGCCUUUUGUGAUACGCUUUCAAAGAGUCAGGUUGUUUGGGAAUGCAGCCUAAAUUGGGUGGUAAAUCUCACCUAAAGCUAAAUAUUGGCGAGAAACCGAUAGCGAACAAGUACCGUGAGGGAAAGAUGAAAAGAACUUUGAAAAGAGAGUUAAACAGUAUGUGAAAUUGUUAAAAGGGAACCGUUUGGAGCCAGACUGGCUUGUCUGUAAUCAAUCUAGGCUUCGGCCUGGAUGCACUUGCAGGCUAUGCCUGCCAACGACAAUUUGACUUGAGGGAAAAAACUAGGGGAAAUGUGGCCCACUUGUGGGUGUUAUAGUCCCUUAGAAAAUACCUUGGGUUGGAUUGAGGAACGCAGCGAAUGCUUAUUGGCGAGUUUUCCAGGAAGGUUUUCUGAGGUACUACGGUAUCAAGGUUGAUCUUUUUGGUUAUACUUCUAUUCGCUUAGGUUGUUGGCUU